CAACCAAAUCACAGAUAUAGUGAACAGAUAAGUCAACUCUACUCCUAAGCAUGAUAUCAACAUGGAAAUAACUGAGUAGAGGAAUGCAGAACAGACCAACUAGGUCAACAGAUACGGAAUGCACAACAGACCAACUAGGUCAACAGAUACGGAAUGCACAGCAGACCAACUAGGUCAACAGAUACAGAAUGCACAGCAGACCAACUAGGUCAACAGAUACAGAUGCGGAUAGAACUACUCUACUCCUACUCAGGAUACUAAGCAUGCAAACAACGAGUAGAGUAUAAUCAAACAAC
RNAcentral lists this long non-coding RNA (296 nucleotides) under Ananas comosus (pineapple). RNAcentral describes it as "long non-coding RNA (ACOM_LNC016858)". The record is from RNAcentral. Lineage: Eukaryota; Viridiplantae; Streptophyta; Magnoliopsida; Poales; Bromeliaceae.